CUGUAACUAAAGUCCCUGCAGACACACUCAGGACCUGGGGCCUCCCAGAUCACACACACACACAGAAGGUCCUGAUAUGCACCAGGAUGGGCCUGGGUCAUGCAGCAGCACUGCCUCCAUGGAGACUGCGAGGAGGAGGCCGCUGGCUGCCCUGGCACAGGCUCAUGAGCCUCCAAAGUUGAUUUGGUGCGGGGUCUGGAGCCAGCAUUGCCCUCAUUGCUGUGCUCCUCACUGUCACACCCUUUCACUUGUGCUGGGUUAUUGGGAUCCUAAGGCAAUCUGCGAUCCCAGAAUGUCUCUCAGAGGCUUACGGAAGGGAAGGGACCAGAGCUGGUCCAGAGACAGCCUGAGCACAGCCCCCCCAUUUCAUUGUCCCCUCCCCUUCUCUCUUAUGGGUCCUUCCAGGCACAGAUCCCCUUUGCCCUCUCUGAGGCCCAACCUCUCACCUCAUCCUCUCCCCCAAAAUCCAAACCCCAUUUCCUGAAUUGUCCUGAUAGUGACCAAGGAGAAAAAUAAGUGUAUCCCAUGGAGUCCAUCACCUGCCCUUUGCCCAUACCUGAGAACAGAGCAGGCUGGGAGGGGAAGGGGACCUCCAGAUACCUAGCCCAAGGGGUGGCCUGUGGAGCAGGGUCAGGGCGGCUCGUGGCAGUGCCACACGAUGGUGAGAGCACCACCCUUGAAGCCAGGCAGCCCUGACUGCGAAUCCUGGCUCCAAUACUUGGCAGCUAGAGGAUCCUGGGCAAGUCACUUAACUCCCCCCAGAGAGGUCUCUCUGUCAGUGAAACAAGGACAAUAAACAGUUUGUUAUUAGGAUAAGAUGGGAAUGCAGGAAUGGCACUUAGCACAGCACCUGCCAUGUAAUAAGAGCACUAAAACGGCAGCUGCUGACAUGGGCUUUUGCCUGCCACUAGGAGGCUCCAGCCCUCUGUAACUGAACCUUCUCUUACCCCUCAGUAGAGUGGGGACAACCCUGGGGUUGGGGGCCAGGAGUCUCCUCUGCAUUUGACCCUUAGCCUUUAAGGUCCUGGGUCCUUGCCUCCCAGGCUGACUCCUGGUGACUGCCCCACACAAGCCAGGCCAGCCCCCAGCCUGCCUGCUGUGUUGAACUCUGCAGUCACCAUCACGUCAUGAGCUCCUCAUCCUACUGCCCCUGCAGAGCUAUAACCAUUAUGGACACCAUCAAAUGCAUGCUGACUUAACUUGGUUGUCAUGGUGAUUUGAUUGCAACACUUGACUGAAUGUGAAGCAGGACCUCAAACCCUCAGAAGAUCCAAGGGGCUCACGACCUCAUGAGUGAGGUCCUGCCCUUUCCUCCUGCCAGAACACAUCCUGACUGAUGUCCUGGGGCCCCCUUUGGGGUGGCCAUCUAAUGGUCAGCCACAGCCUCAGCAUUCUCUGCCCAAAGUCCUAAGCCCCUUAGAACAAACACUAAGCCCCAGGACCCUGGCCUUGAGUGGCACUCCCGGGCAUAGAGCUGAGGGAAGCAUGCCUUACUCCAGAGGUCUCUUGGAAAAUUCACCGAUACAGAAGUAACAUCAAUCACUCCAUCCUGCUGUGGGGAGAGAGGGAGCCCUGCAGAGUUUUAGGGACCACCUUAAUGUCUGCCCAGGGGACUCAGGAAUAGAGCCAGGCAGGGAGCCCUAUCCAAGGGGCUUCAAGACAUGACCCUUCAGCUUGGGUGUCUACUCAGCAGGGACCUCACUGCAGAGGAUACAGGGCACUCUGACUCCCAAACAAUCGGUUUCCUCACAACACUCUGUACCCUGAUCUGCCAGGCACUCUAAGGGGAUAUUUUGUUAACAGUCUUUGAACAGGGUCCUAAAACUCACUAAGAGAUCUUCUCUCUCUCUCUCUCUACACACACACACACACACACACACACACACACGCACACACACACACAGGCACGCACUCUACAGUAUACAGGUGUACUCACCCUGCCUUAACUCUGAAAUGCAGCCCAUGGCUGCUGGGGGCCUGGGCAGCUCAAACAGCAGUCCAGAAACCCCCAUCCCGAGGAUUCUACACAAAUGCCAUUUCUUCACAGUAUUAAGGGAAAGUCCCUCCUUGCCCAUGGUUGAGGUUCUCCUCCUUGAAAAUGAGUGGGUUUUAUUCCUUAGUAUCCAAUGGUCUGUCAGGAGCUUUGGCUUCUGUUUUCAGCAGUGACCACUGAGCAGAACCCCCAGUGGCUGUGUCUGCCCCGGGCCCUUCCCUCAUCGAGGGAGGAAGUAUGGGGGGCACAGCUGCAGGGAAAGGUGGUACCUCCUCCGCAGCGGGGGCAUCUGCCCAGCCUUCUCCUCCAGGGCUCCGCACAGGAGGAGGGAAAAACACAGAAAGCAAAUUGAACAGGGAGCACAGCCAGCUGAGGCUCACGGGUCUCUCUGCAGUCACUCCCCUCAACACUGUGGCAGGGCCAGCAGGGGACCACAGGAGGGCCUGGAAGCAGAAGCCAUGGAGGUGGGGGGAGAGAUUCCUGGCAGAAGGGGAGGCAACUGUGAUUCCAAAUCAUAAAUAGCAAGGGAUGAAGGAGCCGUAUAUCCCCCUCUCCACCUGACCCUCAGCCAAGCAGAAGCCCAGUCGCCUGAACCUGGGCUGCCCUCGCUUGGUUAAGGCAGGUGUGGGGCUGGGGGACUGCAGUGGACUCAGUGUUUGUGUCUCCCGGAGAUUCCUAUGUUGAAACCUAAUCCCCAAUGUGAGAGUGUUAGGAGGUGGGGCGUUGGGAGGUGAGCAGGUCAUGGGGCACAGCCCUCAUAAAUGGGAUUAGUGCCCUUAGAAAAGAAGCCCCAGAGGGCUGCCUUGCCCCUUGCUCCAUCUGAGGACACAGCAAGAAGGCACCAUCUAUGAAUCAGCCAAACACAGCCCCCUCCAGACCUAAAUCUGCUCAUACCUUGAUCUUGGACUUCACAGCCUCCGGAACUAUGGGCAAAAUGAAGCUUCAAAGGACAACUAAUCCUAUGCCAAACGUGGACCAGAGUGAAAACCAGGGUGAUUUCCCAAUCACUGGGCUCUUCCUUUGCUGAAGGGUAGUUUCAGUGGAAGAUGCCCACAUCUGCUAACUCUGCUAACAGGCAACAUGCUCUUUCCUCUCCAAGGGGAGCAAAUGAAGAUGAUGGACAUCAGGAAGACACCAAGCAGGAUCUGACCCUCCGGUAGAAGGUGCUGCACCCAACCUCACCCCUGACCCCUGAUGAACAAGCCACAGGACCAGAGCACGGGGUUGUGCUCAAAGGGAGACCUUGACCAGUCUUGAACAUCAAUCAGGCAUCUGCUAUACACCAGGUGGGACUGUUAAGUGCUUUCAAACUCGCUCCCUGCCAAGAAUCCUGUUAUAACUCUGACAGAAUGGCAUUAUUGACUGGGCACGGUGGCUCACACCUAUAAUCCCAGCACUUUGAGAGGCCGAGGCAGGUGGAUCACUUGAGGUCAGGA
Molecule: RNA transcript, 3429 nt
Organism: Sapajus apella (tufted capuchin)
Lineage: Eukaryota; Metazoa; Chordata; Mammalia; Primates; Cebidae
Exons: 2
Source: RefSeq, a predicted model, not a curated record